This 330-nucleotide ribosomal RNA is filed under the name uncultured eukaryote. RNAcentral's name for it is "partial 18S ribosomal RNA". It matches the Rfam family "Eukaryotic small subunit ribosomal RNA", at positions 1470 to 1796 of the family's 1831-position model. The record is from RNAcentral.
CCCUUAGAUGUCCUGGGCCGCACGCGCGUUACACUGAUGCAUUCAACGAGCUUAUAACCUUGGCCGAGAGGCCUGGGCAAUCUUGUUAACGUGCAUCGUGAUAGGGAUAGAUUAUUGAAAUUAUUAAUCUUGAACGAGGAAUGCCUAGUAAACGCAAGUCAUCAGCUUGCAUUGAUUACGUCCCUGCCCUUUGUACACACCGCCCGUCGCUCCUACCGAUUGAAUGAUCCGAUGAAUAUCAUGGACUGAGAGUGUUAGAGUUUUCGGACUUCUACACUUCUCGGGAAGUGAAGUGAAUCUUAUCAUUUAGAGGAAGGAGAAGUCGUAACA